Molecule: ribosomal RNA, 503 nt
Filed under: uncultured bacterium
Lineage: Bacteria
Description: partial 16S ribosomal RNA
Rfam family: Bacterial small subunit ribosomal RNA
Source: RNAcentral
AUUGAACGCUGGCGGCAGGCUUAACACAUGCAAGUCGAGCGGGGUGAUGGUGCUUGCACUAUCACUUAGCGGCGGACGGGUGAGUAAUGCUUAGGAAUCUGCCUAUUAGUGGGGGACAACAUCUCGAAAGGGAUGCUAAUACCGCAUACGUCCUACGGGAGAAAGCAGGGGAUCACUUGUGACCUUGCGCUAAUAGAUGAGCCUAAGUCGGAUUAGCUAGUUGGUGGGGUAAAGGCCUACCAAGGCGACGAUCUGUAGCGGGUCUGAGAGGAUGGUCCGCCACACUGGGGCUGGGACAAGGCCCAGACUCCUACGGGAGGCAGCAGUGGGGAAUAUUGGACAAUGGGGGGAACCCUGAUCCAGCCAUGCCGCGUGUGUGAAGAAGGCCUUAUGGUUGUAAAGCACUUUAAGCGAGGAGGAGGCUCUUUUGGUUAAUACCCAAGAUGAGUGGACGUUACUCGCAGAAUAAGCACCGGCUAACUCUGUGCCAGCCGCCGCAGUAA